This 659-nucleotide ribosomal RNA is filed under the name uncultured bacterium. RNAcentral describes it as "bacterial SSU rRNA". It matches the Rfam family "Bacterial small subunit ribosomal RNA", at positions 8 to 639 of the family's 1533-position model. The record is from RNAcentral.
AGAGUUUGAUCAUGGCUCAGAUUGAACGCUGGCGGCGUGCUUAACACAUGCAAGUCGAACGCGAAAGGGACUUCGGUCCUGAGUAAAGUGGCGCACGGGUGAGUAACACGUGGAUAAUCUGCCCCUAUGAUCGGGAUAACAGUCGGAAACGGCUGCUAAUACCGGAUACGCUCAAAAUGAACUUUUUGAGGAAAGGUGACCUCUGCUUGCAUGUUACCGUAUAGGGAUGAGUCCGCGUCCCAUUAGCUUGUUGGUGGGGUAAAGGCCUACCAAGGCAACGAUGGGUAGCCGAUUUGAGAGGAUGAUCGGCCACACUGGGACUGAAACACGGCCCAGACUCCUACGGGAGGCAGCAGUGGGGAAUAUUGCGCAAUGGGCGAAAGCCUGACGCAGCGACGCCGCGUGAGGGGAUGAAAGGUUUUCGGAUCGUAAACCUCUGUCAGAAGGGAAGAAACCGCACUGUGCUAAUCAGCAGUGGUCUUGACGGUACCUUCAAAGGAAGCACCGGCUAACUCCGUGCCAGCAGCCGCGGUAAUUACGGAGGGGUGCAAGCGUUAAUCGGAAUUACUGGGCGUAAAGCGCACGUAGGCUGCUUUUGUAAGGUCAAGGGGUGAAAUCCCACGGGCUCAACCGUGGGAACUGCCCUUUGAUACUGCUUA